Molecule: ribosomal RNA, 503 nt
Filed under: uncultured bacterium
Lineage: Bacteria
Description: partial 16S ribosomal RNA
Rfam family: Bacterial small subunit ribosomal RNA
Source: RNAcentral
ACUGAACGCUGGCGGCAGGCUUAACACAUGCAAGUCGAGCGGGGUGAUGGUGCUUGCACUAUCACUUAGCGGCGGACGGGUGAGUAAUGCUUAGGAAUCUGCCUAUUAGUGGGGGACAACAUCUCGAAAGGGAUGCUAAUACCGCAUACGUCCUACGGGAGAAAGCAGGGGAUCACUUGUGACCUUGCGCUAAUAGAUGAGCCUAAGUCGGAUUAGCUAGUUGGUGGGGUAAGGGCCUACCAAGGCGACGAUCUGUAGCGGGUCUGAGAGGAUGAUCAGCAAAACUGGGACUGAGACACGGCCCAGACUCCUACGGGAGGCAGCAGUGGGGAAUAUUGGACAAUGGGGGGAACCCUGAUCCAGCCAUGCCGCGUGUGUGAAGAAGGCCUUAUGGUUGUAAAGCACUUUAAGCGAGAAGGAGGCUCUUUUGGUUAAUACCCAAGAUGAGUGGACGUUACUCGCAGAAUAAGCACCGGCUAACUCUGUGCCAGCCGCCGCAGUAA